CAAACAUACAUACACACAACCAAACUGUAUAUUUUGGUUUGCUUGAAGAUCUAAACAAGAUCUCUUCUACAAGAUUUUCCCUGAAAAUAUUUUCCUUGAAAAUCUUAUCAAAUCUCUACAAAAGAUUUUUGUCUCGAAAGAUUUUUGUCUCAAAAGAUCUCUACAAAAUCUCAACAUCUCUAUAAAAGACCCAUACCCCCUUCCACAAUUAAAACACUCAAACCAACAACCAUCAGCCAAACACCUUCCUAUACCCUCUCCCUCUCUCAAUUACUACUGCACAUAAAGGAAAAGGGGUGCUUCUUCUUAUCAUAACACAAAACCCUGCACUCCCACAUCUCACCCUCCCUCUCGAUUCCCCUCUGCCACACAAAAGAGCUUUAAACUAAUUAACACCCCGCCCCCUUCCUUCAACCUGUGUAACGGCCCACCACCACCACCACCGUCUGGUGGUGGCAACGCGUGGCGACAUCCGACAGCCCCCCCCCCCCUUCGGCCACACACACCUCAGAUACAAGCAGCGAAAGAGAGUGGCGGAGAAAAGAGACUGAGAUGAUGACCCACACACACCGGCGACAGUGUCGGAUGGCGGCGGUGGGGGUUUUGCAGAUCAGAACAGAUCGAGAGAUAGAGAGAGAGAGGAGUCGACGUGAUGACGUCAGCGAUGGUGGUGCUCGACGGAGCUCCGAGCCGGUGGCGGCAGCCGCACAACUGUUGGCCGACAAGUUGUUCCGAUGAUGAUGAUGAUGAUGAUGAUGGUGGCUGAAUGUUGUUACAGAUAGAUUUACAGCGGCUGUGGUGGCUCGGAUGUCACCGGAUUUGGUUAUGUUGGUUCGGUCACUUCGGACCUUAGUUACAAGUCUCGGUCAAGAUUAGUCAAGUUGGUCAACGGCUUGGGUCAGACCUGGUGCGGUUCGAGUUCAGAUCAGCGGGUUCGAAUAAGGCAGUCUACAAGGUCAGACGUUUUGGCUCGGUCAACUCGGGUCAAACCCGGUUAACUCCAUCAACCCGGUUGACUCGGUCAACUCAGCCGGUCAACUUAGUUAGCGUUUCGACAUGAUGAUUUGGUAAAGAUUAACGGCACGAUUGUUUUAUUAUUUUUAUAUAGUUUUAUUAUAUACGUGAGACACGAGCUCGAACCAAUCGAUAAAAGUAUACUUUACAACUUUACAUAUUUGACGAAAUCUUAUACACUUAUUAUAUUGAUUGAA
Long non-coding RNA from Helianthus annuus (common sunflower), 1211 nucleotides. RefSeq lists it as uncharacterized. The record is from RefSeq and is a predicted model, not a curated record. The transcript is spliced from 2 exons. NCBI's taxonomy places the organism in Eukaryota, Viridiplantae, Streptophyta, Magnoliopsida, Asterales, Asteraceae.